UACGUAGGGGGCAAGCGUUGUCCGGAAUUAUUGGGCGUAAAGCGCGCGCAGGCGGUUCUUUAAGUCUGAUGUGAAAGCCCACGGCUCAACCGUGGAAGGUCAUUGGAAACUGGAGGACUUGAGUGCAGGAGAGGAAAGUGGAAUUCCACGUGUAGCGGUGAAAUGCGUAGAGAUGUGGAGGAACACAAGUGGCGAAGGCGACUUUCUGGCCUGUAACUGACGCUGAGGCGCGAAAGCGUGGGGAGCAAACAGG
RNAcentral lists this ribosomal RNA (253 nucleotides) under uncultured bacterium. Its description in RNAcentral is "partial 16S ribosomal RNA". It matches the Rfam family "Bacterial small subunit ribosomal RNA", at positions 524 to 776 of the family's 1533-position model. The record is from RNAcentral.